AGAUAACUUGACAUGUUUAAUAUUGUACACCACACACAGUCCACAUGGACUAUAUUUCCGAGAUGACCACUUUUUCCCCCUCUCUCAGCCAGCGAAACAAGUGUAGGCUAUGUUGCUAAACGCGCUGAGCACAAGUCUACAGGAACUGCACCGUCAGAGCACAGAGAGAGAGAGAGAGCAGUGACGGAGUGAGCUGCACACGAAUGUGCUCAGUGCUGCUAUCAGCCGAUAGAAGCUUGACAGGCGACCAGAGGGGGACACAGAUACUGAUAGAGGGGGAGAGAGACUCUCUUCCGACGUCGGUGCUGGAACGGAUGAGCGCGACAUUCGUCCACUAACCGGUUACGGUAUAUUCCACGGCGGCAGACACUACAGAUAUCCAAUGCUGGUGGAAUUUAGCUGACCAUAGUUGGACACGCAACAUUCACUGUUGGUGCCAUGAUCCCUCGUAGUAUGCGAACAGGUGGGAUGGCCCUGCCAGGGGUGGAGUCAAGGGAUGUACCCCUCAUUGGCUACCGGCCUUUAGCGCCUGACGAUGUUCCCCUCAGCAGCCAAUCAGGGCAAGUGACUGACUGUACUGGACUGGACUCCUCUGAGGGGGAGACUUCCCCCAUGAAGACAACUUGGUACUGUCCUCUGGACUUGUCUACUGUGUUGGAGGAGGAAGAGGACGGAGUGAUAUACAAUGUAGUGGUGAAGCAACAGCGUAGCGCCCCCACCAGUGCAACAUCCAGCUCUCGUUCACAGUGUGUGAAGGCGGGAACAGAGGAGAAGCUGGUUCAGCACCUCCUCCACUCCUUCGCCAUGGGAGACUCCUCCUUCAUCACCAUCUUCCUUGCCACCUAUCGCUCCUUUACCUCAACUAAGAGAGUGCUGGAUAUCCUCAUCGACAGAUUGCAACAUCCACCAGGAGAAAGUACAAAGAGUCAGAUUAGGCAACCCUUCAACAGAGCGGUGUGUAUGGUGUUCAGUAUGUGGUUGUCGGAGUAUCCUGAGGACUUCCGCUUUCUGGGAGAGCCUGGUCUUCUGCUCCGCCUGGCCCCCCUGCUGCCCUCCGACCCCUCUGGGACAGAGAUCAGGGGUCGCCUCCUCAGACUGGCACAGGAGCUCAGUGAACAGGCCCUACUGCCUGACUCUAGUUCAGAUAGGACCACCCCCAGCCCUGCUGACCACACUAAGUUUGAUCCCACCAAUAUCCUGGGCUUCCCCGCUGGGCUGAUUGCUGAGCAGCUCACCAAGAUAGAAACGGAACUGUUUGUGCGUCUGGUCCCGUACCACUGCCUGGGCUCCUUGUGGUCUCAGAGAGACAAGAAGGGCCGCGAGGGUGUAUGUUGGUCCGUCCGGGCCACUGUACGCCAGUUCAACCGGCUGGCCAAUGCUGUAAUGGCUUCGUGCCUGUGGCCCACGCAGCUCCGCAGCCAGCAGAGAGCCUGCCUUCUGGAGAAAUGGAUCAGCGUGGCAGAGGAAUGCAGAGCCAGGAAAAACUUUUCGUCUCUCUACGCCAUCGUGUCUGCCCUGCAGAGUAACCCAGUACACAGACUAAGGAGGACGUGGCUAGAAACUGACAGGGAAGCAGUGAGGAGGUACGAGGAGCUGUCCAACAUUUUCUCUGAGAAGGACAACUACUCCCAGAGCAGGGAGCUGCUGAAAGAGGAGGGUACUUCGAAGUUCGCCAACCUGGACGGCAAGAUGAACAACAGGAGACAGAUAGGAUCCAGUGCCCAGGGCACAGUACCCUACCUGGGGAUCUUCCUCACAGACCUCACCAUGCUGGACACGGCCGUCAAAGACAGACUGGAGAACGGCUACGUCAACUUUGACAAGAGGAGACGAGAGUUUGAGGUUUUAGCUCAGAUCCGACUACUGCAGUCCUCCUGUAAAAACAGUGUUUUCCUCACCGACGAGGCAUUCCUACAGUGGUACCAAAGCGUACCCUCGUUAAAUGAAGAAGAAAGUUACAGACUGUCCAAUGAAAUUGAGGUGCCGUGCGAACCGAGCUCUGGUCGUACCCUGAACCCUACAGUGAUCAUCACACGGUGCCCAAACCUGAAUUCCUCCAGGACCAGCCUUGUUGCUGACAGUGACGGUCUUUUUUACUUCCCCUCCCCCGUCUGCCACUUUCUUUCCAAAUUCACUAAGUUUCCUGUCUGGAUGUUGACUCCUCCCAUCCCACCAAUGACCCCAUCCCGUCUGCAUUGACACCAUCCACUCCCGUCAAAUCACAUCGUCGAUCAGUCUCCUGUGGCAACAAUCCCACCAAUAACAACAAAGGGUCUGGGCCUGAUAUGCGGAUCGUCAGGAUACGGAUGGAUUUACAAGAUGGGAAUAUGUACAGAAGCAUACUGGUGACAAACAAUGACAAGACACCCACUGUGAUCAGUUCUGCCUUAGAUAAACACAGUCAGGACCCCAAACAGGCAUCCAGAUAUGAGCUCAUCCAACUAUUGCCCGAGGGAAAGGAGUUGGUCAUCCCUGCCACAGGAAACGUCUUCUAUGCCAUGACUUCCUCUAGUGUGGACUUCCUGCUGCGCAGACAAGGAGGCAACACCCCUUUUCGCUCUCAACCAAUCAGCACAGAAACCAGUGCUACCUUUCCUCGAAUCAAAGCCAAGGGGCGGAGACUGUUUUUUUGACAACAACUCUUUCCCAAAUAGGCUACAUCUGAGACAUAAUGUAGCUAGUUCUCAAGGACAGGUCACGAUAAGAAUGCAGGCAGAUAUCUCAGUGAGAUGUGGCCUUGUCUUUCCUAAUCUUUUUCCGAAGUGGAAACACAUUCUGACCGAGCUUGUUCAAGCGAAAUGUAUCCUGAAACCUGUCUGAACUUGUUUGAUGAACGUGUUCUUACCUGGGACAUUUCAAUAAAUAUGCUGCCCAUUUGUGUAUACCAGGGAGGCCAUUAGUGUAGAAGGGUGCAUGUCUCUGGUUGGCAAUGCAUACUACUGCAAAUAUACACCGAGAACAAGACCAAUGCAAAUCUUUAACUGAUGGUGAAUGGUGCUGUUUCUUAAGUCUCUCUGACCAUUGGCAUCUAAUUUCCUAUUUAACCAAAUGGAAUGGCCUUGUAACCAAGAGCAACUGAGGAAUCCAAAUCAUCUUGCGUAUUUGAGGAAUGUGCCUCAGGUUCCAUCAUAGAGAUGAGUUGAUAGUAGAGAACUUCAUUAAAUCAAAGUAUUUGGGGGAUAUGACCUCCUUGAAUUGACCAUGACAACAAAGUUUAACAUUUCUCCAGAGAGAGUGGAUACAAACGGCAUGAUGACAUAUUACGUAUGCAAGGCGUUUCAAGAAUUUGAAUGGUGGGGAGAGCACUGGGCUGACAUUAUGACAUAAUGCAUCUGAAUAAGUGACAGAGUCACUGAAACCUCUCAUUAUAGCAAAGCACAGGGGCUCAUCAAAAUGUUUUAACUAUGUACUUUGUAUGUAUACAUAUGACGAUGUCAUGAUUGUGUUUACAUUCACAAGGAGCAAUCAACAAGUGUCAGAAUGACAUGUUAUUCAUUUUGAAGUAACAGGAAAUAUAUUAAAUUGCCCCAAAUUGCAACCAUUUCAAAUGAGCACAACACGUUACAAAGAUAAACAUGAUCAUUUGGGCUUUCUGCAUACAUAUUGAAUGAUAGUUCUGGUAGUAUCUUGUGUAAAAUACAACACAUUUACAUAUACAGCCUUGCCACUCCCAUACAGAAGUCAUAUUUUGAGUAUGAACCAUUAGGCAUAACAACCUCAACCCACAAACUCUUAACCUAAACAAUUCACGUGAAGACACUAAUGAAAGUCCAGACUAUGUUGUGCGUAUUGAAAAGAUGUCUACCAUUGCACCUGAAUGCUAAACUUUUCAAUACAGCAUAAGCUAAUCUUUAUUAAUGGUCUCUGAAUGGGUUUAGUUGGUAGUUGCAAUGGAAGUCUGUCUGAAGUGUACUUCAACCAGUGCACCCAAAGUCAGUCCUCAAAGACCCAUGCCAGGUUAGUGAGUUAUUCUCACCAAUCACUGAAUUAUGUUUAAUUGAUAUCUUCUCUGACGUUUGAUAGAGAUCUGACAGCUAUUAAGGUUUCAUUAUGCAAUGUCUUUAGUCCAGGAACUGAAUGUAGAGGGUUUUGCAGAAGGCUCUGCUUCUCUCCAAUGAGGAUGAGACCAGUAGGAAGGAAAACCUGUAUGCAUAAGGGCGCAUGGGGAACAGAUUGUGGAAGGCCCUAACUGAUGAACUCUUGUGAACUCUGGCCACACUACCCAGUGCUGUUGAAGUCUCUACUAAGGCUGAAGCAUAGACACGGUAGUUCCAGGGAGAGGAGAGAGGAUUCUGGGUAACGUAAUUUGAUGAAGUCUUAGCGCCAGGCUAAGCUACUGAUUGUUUAGUGCCUUUCUCUCAUUGGUGCUUGACCUACUUAGUGUCCCAAAUGGCACCCUAUUCCCUAAUAGAGUGUUACCUUUCACCAGAGCCCAUGUCAAAAGUAGUGCGCUUAAUAGGGUGCCAUUUGACAUGAAGCAUCUGUGAUGUAUGCAUUGGAAUGUACAUAUGAUGUACAUUCACAGUGCUGUAUAUGCUGGCAUGUUUAUGCACUACAUACGCCCUAUUUGUUUUUGUGUGAUACAUUUCCUUUUUCUAUGGAUGCAUUUUGAUGCGACGGUAAUAUGAGGAAUUUCUAUGCAACUCCCCGGAUGUGUGCCGUAAUUCUGCCGUGUCUAUUCUUACCAAAUAAAAUGUACACAGAUGUACAUCUAAAAGAUUCAGACUGUGUUUUAGUAUCUAGCUUGUUGGUGGAUGAGGAAGUUUAAUGAAGAACAUUAUGCAAAAUAUUUGUGCAGAAGACAGUAUCUUUGCCUGUUUCAAGCUGAACGCUGAAAAGGUCA
RNA transcript from Oncorhynchus kisutch (coho salmon), 4843 nucleotides. It is a transcript of the gene named ral guanine nucleotide dissociation stimulator-like 2, with no coding region annotated. The transcript is spliced from 20 exons. The record is from RefSeq and is a predicted model, not a curated record. NCBI's taxonomy places the organism in Eukaryota, Metazoa, Chordata, Actinopteri, Salmoniformes, Salmonidae.